This 230-nucleotide long non-coding RNA is filed under the name Linum usitatissimum (flax). Its description in RNAcentral is "long non-coding RNA (LUSI_LNC004940)". Lineage: Eukaryota; Viridiplantae; Streptophyta; Magnoliopsida; Malpighiales; Linaceae. The record is from RNAcentral.
UUGUCUUGAGGGAGGAGGUGCUACAAAAAAAUAUUACUUGCUUUCAUUUUGUUUUUCUUUGCUUCUUUUUUUUUUGCUUUUUUAGAUCGCCGCUUUUUUCAAAUUGUUGUAAUCACAACCUUAGCCGGACUCGGAAGUAACCAAUCUCCAACCCACGCCCCAAGCCUUAGAAAGGUUGGGAAGAUGGCGAACAAUAAGGGUUGCCCAGCGUGUAUAGGCCAUAACCGAAC